UUUCUCCUACGGGGGGCAGCAGUGGGGGAUAUUGGACAAUGGGGGGAACCCUGAUCCAGCGACGCCGCGUGAGUGAAGAAGUAUUUCGGUAUGUAAAGCUCUGUCAGCAGGGAAGAAAGAAAUGACGGUACCUGACCAAGAAGCCCCGGCUAACUACGUGCCAGCAGCCGCGGUAAUACGUAGGGGGCAAGCGUUAUCCGGAUUUACUGGGUGUAAAGGGAGCGUAGACGGCAGCGCAAGUCUGAAGUGAAAUCCCAUGGCUUAACCAUGGAACUGCUUUGGAAACUGUGCAGCUGGAGUGCAGG
RNAcentral lists this ribosomal RNA (305 nucleotides) under uncultured bacterium. RNAcentral describes it as "bacterial SSU rRNA". It matches the Rfam family "Bacterial small subunit ribosomal RNA", at positions 333 to 652 of the family's 1533-position model. The record is from RNAcentral.